Molecule: ribosomal RNA, 512 nt
Filed under: uncultured bacterium
Lineage: Bacteria
Description: partial 16S ribosomal RNA
Rfam family: Bacterial small subunit ribosomal RNA
Source: RNAcentral
GAUGAACGCUGGCGGCAUGCCUAAUACAUGCAAGUCGAACGAGAGGAAGGAAAGCUUGCUUUUCUGAAUCUAGUGGCGAACGGGUGAGUAACACGUAGGUAACCUGCCCAUGUGCCCGGGAUAACUUCUGGAAACGGAUGCUAAAACCGGAUAGGUAGCAGACAAGCAUCUGACUGCUAUUAAAGUGGCUAAGGCCAUGAACAUGGAUGGACCUGCAGUGCAUUAGCUAGUUGGUGAGGUAACGGCCCACCAAGGCGACGAUGCAUAGCCGGCCUGAGAGGGCGGACGGCCACAUUGGGACUGAGACACGGCCCAAACUCCUACGGGAGGCAGCAGUAGGGAAUUUUCGUCAAUGGGGGGAACCCUGAACGAGCAAUGCCGCGUGAGUGAGGAAGGUCUUCGGAUCGUAAAGCUCUGUUGUAAGAGGAAAACGACAUUCAUAGGGAAUGAUGAGUGAGUGAUGGUAUCUUACCAGAAAGUCACGGCUAACUACGUGCCAGCAGCCGCCGUAA